Molecule: transfer RNA, 95 nt
Filed under: Paraburkholderia phenoliruptrix
Lineage: Bacteria; Pseudomonadati; Pseudomonadota; Betaproteobacteria; Burkholderiales; Burkholderiaceae
Description: tRNA-Arg
Source: RNAcentral
GCCGCGCUGGCGGAGUUCGGCGCCGGUGCCUGCGGCGCGCGGUUGCCUGGGCCCGUGCCCGGCAACCCCGGCGUGCCUCCCGGCGGUUCCGCGCC